GGAACAGUAAGAACAUGAGGGAGAAGGAAGUGCUGCUAAUGAAUGAUAAUGAAAUGGAAGAGGCCAAAGUCUAUUACAAGCUCUGAAGUUAAUAAUAAUCUUGUUUUCCAUUUAAUGAGCAUCAGGAGAGUCUUCAGAGUAAAGGAUUCGUUUAUUUAUUUGAGAGAGAGAACAGGAGAAGAGGGGAAGAGGGAGA
Molecule: long non-coding RNA, 196 nt
Filed under: Mustela putorius furo (domestic ferret)
Lineage: Eukaryota; Metazoa; Chordata; Mammalia; Carnivora; Mustelidae
Description: lncRNA (ENSMPUG00000028350.1)
Source: RNAcentral